RNAcentral lists this ribosomal RNA (520 nucleotides) under Paramunida proxima. Its description in RNAcentral is "partial 16S ribosomal RNA". It matches the Rfam family "Bacterial large subunit ribosomal RNA", at positions 1831 to 2597 of the family's 2925-position model. The record is from RNAcentral. Lineage: Eukaryota; Metazoa; Arthropoda; Malacostraca; Decapoda; Munididae.
GUCUGUAUGAAGUUAUAUAGAGUCUGGCCUGCCCGUUGAAGGAAUUUGAAAGGCCGCGGUAUAUUAACUGUGCAAAGGUAGCAUAAUCAUUAGCUUUUUAAUUGAAGGCUUGUAUGAAAGGUCUGACAAAGAAAAAGCUGUCUUUAAAAUUAUUUUUGAAUUUAACUUUUAAGUGAAAAGGCUUAAAUAAAUUUAAGGGACGAUAAGACCCUAUAAAUCUUUAUAUUAUAUUAUUAUUCUGAAUUUUAAUGUUUGUUUAGAUUGUUAGAUAAAAUAAUAAGUAUUUUGUUGGGGUGACGAGAAUAUAAAAAUAACUGUUCUUAAAAGAAACAAAGUUAUUUGUUAAGAAAAAUUUAUAGAUCCUUUUUAAAGAUUAAAAGUUUAAGUUACUUUAGGGAUAACAGCGUUAUUUUUUUUGAGAGUUCUUAUCGAAAAAAAAGUUUGCGACCUCGAUGUUGAAUUAAAAUUUCUUUACGGUGUAGAAGUUGUAGAAGAGAGUCUGUUCGACUUUUGAAAUUUU